Molecule: ribosomal RNA, 424 nt
Filed under: uncultured bacterium
Lineage: Bacteria
Description: partial 16S ribosomal RNA
Rfam family: Bacterial small subunit ribosomal RNA
Source: RNAcentral
GAAUAUUGGACAAUGGGGGGAACCCUGAUCCAGCCAUGCCGCGUGCGUGAAGAAGGCCUUUUGGUUGUAAAGCACUUUAAGCGAGGCGGAGGAGCCCUUGGUUAAUACCCAACACGCUUGGACGCUACUCGCAGAAUAAGCACCGGCUCACUACGUUCCACCCGCCGCGGUAAUACAGAGGGUGCAAGCGUUAAGCGGAUUUACUGGGCGUAAAGCGCGCGUAGGUGGCCAAUUAAGUCAAAUGUGAAAUCCCCGAGCUUAACUUGGGAAUUGCAUUCGAUACUGGUUGGCUAGAGUAUGGGAGAGGAUGGUAGAAUUCCAGGUGUAGCGGUGAAAUGCGUAGAGAUCUGGAGGAAUACCGAUGGCGAAGGCAGCCAUCUGGCCUAAUACUGACACUGAGGUGCGAAAGCAUGGGGAGCAAACA